This 2735-nucleotide long non-coding RNA is filed under the name Homo sapiens (human). RNAcentral describes it as "non-protein coding lnc-PDGFA-6:6". Lineage: Eukaryota; Metazoa; Chordata; Mammalia; Primates; Hominidae. The record is from RNAcentral.
GAAUGGAAGGUGGAAGGCGGUUGCUGCUUGCAGAAGAGGCACGCUGGCAGCAUUGGCAGGGAGGAGGAGACUGGAAACUGAGUAGCAGAUCCGAGAAACCAAAAUGCUCAGCAAAUGAGGGCAGGUGGCAUGGAGCUACUUCCCUGGGUCCAAGAGCCUAAUUACGUUAUUGUUCCAUAAGUUCAUGGCCUGCGGUCAUCAGGGAAAAUAAAACACUGACUAGGGGUCGGUCUUUUCUGUUUAGAGGAGGCUCCCUGAAACCUCCCCCUCCCGGGUUCAAGCGAUUCUCCUGCCUUAGCCUCCCGAGUAGCUGGAACUAUAGGCGCCCGCCACCACUCCCGGCUAAUUUUUUUUUGUUUUUUUGUUUUUUGUAGAGACGGGGUUUCACCGUGUUAGCCAGGAUGGUCUCGAUCUCCUGACCUCGCGAUCCGCCCGCCUCGGCCUCCCAAAGUGCUGGGAUUACAGGCGUGAGCCACCGCGCCCGGCCUCAGCUGGUUUUUCAAAAGUCAUGGCGUGUAAUUGUCAGAACAGUGAACUUCGGAGAUCCACCGGAGGGGCGAGGCCACAGCUCGACCGCGAGCACCUGAGCAUCCUGCACCGCCUGCGACGGCCGUCAGGGGGCGCGAUGCCGCCUCACAGAACCUCAAGCGGCGCCCGGGUUCCGGCACAGACGGCCUGCGGCUCCAGGGGGCGGAGCCGAGCCGUCUCCUCAGGACCUACGCAAGAGGCGCCGUCAUCCCUACAGGGACACCUGAGAGGGCCCAGCCUCCUCCUCCUCAGGACCCACUCGGGAGACGCCGCUGGCUCUCUAGGAACACCUGGGGACCGUGGCCAGGGACGACCCAGCCUCCUUCUCCUCAGCUCCUCAGGAACGACUGGGGAAGCUGUGGCUUCAUGGUCCCCGAGGCUGCCCGAGGAAAGGUGAGGAAAAAGCUUUCUGUCCCGGCUCAGUGCGGAGGAGGCCGCGCUGCCUCGCGCUCCACUUUCUCAAGUUGUAUUUAUUUUAUUUUACAAAGUGGCCCAUCAUUAAGUGGCUUUGUUAUUCAUUAUUACAGCAUACCUGAGUUGUUUCAUUUUUUAAUUUUUGACCAAUUUGGGUUUGUUUGGGGUGGAUCCGGGACAGAGAAGGGAGAAACCCUGAGGGCAACAUGGAGAGCCCCAGGGAGACGCGCACCCCACGACUUGCUUUUAUUUGCGUUCCAGUGGCUCGUUUUUCUUAGAGUGUUAAAGUACUUGAAAAAUAUUGAAGAGCAGAUGUAGAUGUGAGUUUUCACAACCGUGUUUUAAGUGUAAAUACUGGACUUUGUCUGUUAAAAGGAUUUUAGGUAAAAUAAAUUUAAGCGGAGUUUAUUUCGGCAAAGGAAUGGUUCAUGAAUCACGCAGGAAGCACCAGAACGGAUGGGGCUUCGAGCUCUUAGGGUGGCCCCUAAGUGAGGCUCCUCAGUGGCUCCAGCUAGGCCACCGCCUGUUGUGGGGAUGGUUCCCUCAGCGUCCCUAGUCAUACAGCCAACUGGCUGCUGGGCUUUUUGGCAUUGACUGUGGUUGGUUUGUUAAUUUUUUUAAGUCAGUUCAAAUGCCUCCAAGUUCGGUUUCUGUUUGCUUAGGGAAGGCCUCAGGCUAACCCCCGCCGUAUUUGCUUUAACAUGUCAAAACCAUAAUUUAUUUUUCAUUUUACUUUCCUGGCAUUAAUAGAAGUAAAUUCACAUUUGUGUGUUAUUCAGAAAGUCGGUUUAAUUGGCAACCUAUUUGUGAUGGUGCAUAAAGUAAUGUCUUUUAAUCAUUGGCAUCUUAGAUUAGAUGAAAUAUGUUAACUCUCUUAAGCUUCGUUAUUAACCCAUAACAAGAGUUAAGUUUCUUUUUUUCUCCUAGGCUUUGACCAUUUAAAAUACACUCAGGCAUCUCGUAACGAUGUUAUACUUUCUGAGAAAUCUGUCCUUAGGUGAUUUCAUCUUUGUGUGAACACUGUAGAGUGUCCUUAUAAAACUUAGAUGGUGUAGCCCACUCCACACCUAAGUUACAUAGUAUAGCCUAUUGCUCCCAGGCUACGAACCUGUACAGCAUGUCUCUGUACUGAAUGCUGUAGUCAACCAUAACACCAUGGUGAUUGUAGAUUGUGAUCCCAGAAUAUCUGAGACAGGUCUCAGUCAAUUUAGAAAGCUUAUUUUGCCAAGAUUAAGGACACGCCCAUGACACAGCCUCAGGAGGUCCUGACGACGUGUGUCCAAGGUGGCCAGGGUAGAGCUUGCUUUUGUACAUUUUAGGGAUACAUGAGACGUGUAAGAUGUACAGUCAUUUGGCCCAGUAAGGCGGGACAACUGGAAGCAGGAAGUGGGGGUGCUUCCAGGUCAGAAGUAGGUUAGAGACAAAAGGUUGCAUUCUUUUGAAUCCUUCAUCAGCCUUCCACUGAAUACACAAUUUAGUCUGGCUCAAUGAAUCUGCAUUUUUACAUAAAUAAUAGGGCAGAGGAAGCAAUCAGAUAUGCAUCUGUCUCAGGUGAGGGAUGACUUUGAGUGCUGUCUGUCCUUUGUCCAAAAGGAAAUUCUUUGUGGGCAAAUUGUGAGUGAGGUAUGUAGCUUUUUAUCUUUGUAGCUAUCUUAGGAAUAGAAUGAGGGCAGGUUUGCCUGACAUAGCUCCCAGCUUGACUUUUCCCUUGGCUUAGUGAUUUGGGGGUCCUGAGAUUUAUUUUCCUUUCAUGGUAUCAGAACAGAGAAAAGGUAAUGCGUUGAGCCAUGAGC